RNAcentral lists this long non-coding RNA (1292 nucleotides) under Anas zonorhyncha (Eastern spot-billed duck). RNAcentral's name for it is "lncRNA (ENSAZOG00000000681.1)". Lineage: Eukaryota; Metazoa; Chordata; Aves; Anseriformes; Anatidae. The record is from RNAcentral.
ACAGGAGGCCCAGACUGAUAAAAGAUGCAUUUCCAGGAAUGAAUGGGAAAGUCGAUGCUGCUUUUCAACACAAAAGCACCCAGUUUGGCAAUGCUGAGCAGAUGGGUCCUGGACCUGGCAACCUGGGUGAUGUAUGGAUGAUCACUCUCCAGGCAAGAGCUGUCUCUGAACAACAGUUGGGGACUUGGAAAGAAGAGGGUGACAAUGAGAGAACGGCUGUGUGAUGAGAACAGCAGAUGACUGAAACCUCUCUUUCCAUCAUUCAAGGGAGAUGUGCUGAAGGACACGCAGUGGGAAGCCAAUGCAGAUGGUGAAAUGGGACAUGACUUUGUAGCCCAACAUGAUGGAAAUUCCCAAGGCAGAGUGAAGCCACUGCUUCUGCUUUCUCUUCCUGAUGCUGUUUAAGAUUUUCAUUCGAUGACUGUAAGCAUAUAAGCAGCUCCCACAGCUAAUGCUGGAAUCCAGGACUCCCUAAUUCUGCCAUUGGCUAUCCUAAAAAUUAAUUUAUUUGAAGUUUCCAGGAAAACAAACAGAUGUCCCCUCCUGCCCUCUGCCUGACUCAGUAUCCUCCUUGUCCCAUUACUAUUUGGCAAAAGACCCUUUCCAGAAGUGUGCAUAGCAGCAGAAACUUCCUGUACAAUCUGCAGCUUAUGAUUUCCUAAUGUUCCCAUCUCAGACCCUUCUGAUUAACCUGCAUCUCUUUGCUUGUAUGUGUUUAAACAUCUUAUGUCUUAAAUAAAAAUAAUAAAAAAAAAAAUAAAAUUAAAAUUAAAAAAGGAAAAAAAAAAGAUAGAUAAAUAUCUAAGGAGUUCUUAGGGAAGACUUAAAAAAAAAAAAAAGAUGAAAAAAAAGAAAAAAAAUGAGGCACUGAAUAAGGACCUAUACAAGCAAGCCUACAGAAACAUAUGAGGAAGAAAUAUUUACAGGGAGGAAAAAAAAAUCUAGUUUAGAAACUGAAUUAGAGAAGUUAAGCAGUAUUUCACUAAUCCCAGUAUCAUGUGAGAUGUUGCAGACUUUGGAGAUGUAUCCAACACGACACUUUUUGUUCAUGUCUGAAAAUCAUGACGAAUUAAGAAUAAUCAACAGCAAAGUUUCCUUGGACAGUGAGCCAUGAAGCUGAAUCUAUUUACUGGUGUAAAAGCUGUACCCACUGAUCAUCUUCCUAGCAAUUUCAAAGACAAGCACAGGAUUAUUGCUUUGAAAUGUCCUGUAUUGUCUUUAUUCAAUCACUACAAAUAAGUAAUAUGACUCACCCUGGAAGAUAUAAGGAAAUCUGCUUUUCCCAGAAAUAG